UACGAAGGGGGCUAGCGUUGCUCGGAAUCACUGGGCGUAAAGCGCACGUAGGCGGAUUGCUAAGUCAGGGGUGAAAUCCCAGGGCUCAACCCUGGAACUGCCUUUGAUACUGACGAUCUGGAGAUCGGGAGAGGUUGGUGGAAUUCCGAGUGUAGAGGUGAAAUUCGUAGAUAUUCGGAGGAACACCAGAAGCGAAGGCAGCUCUCUGGGACGGUACUGACGCUGAGACGCGAAAGCGUGGGGAGCGAACAGG
Molecule: ribosomal RNA, 253 nt
Filed under: uncultured bacterium
Lineage: Bacteria
Description: partial 16S ribosomal RNA
Rfam family: Bacterial small subunit ribosomal RNA
Source: RNAcentral